Molecule: ribosomal RNA, 462 nt
Filed under: uncultured bacterium
Lineage: Bacteria
Description: partial 16S ribosomal RNA
Rfam family: Bacterial small subunit ribosomal RNA
Source: RNAcentral
GACGAACGCUGGCGGCGUGCUUAACACAUGCAAGUCGAGCGGAAAGGCCCUUCGGGGUACUCGAGCGGCGAACGGGUGAGUAACACGUGAGUAACCGGCCCCAGACCUUGGGAUAACCCUCGGAAACGGGGGCUAAUACCGGAAACGACACAGCUUCGCAUGGGCUCUGUGUGGAAAGUUUUUCGGUUGGGGAUGGGUCCGCGGCCUAUCAGCUUGUUGGUGGGGUGCUGGCCUACCAAGGCGACGACGGGUAGCCGGCCUGUGAGGGCGACCGGCCACACUGGGACUGAGACACGGACCAGAAUCCUACGGGAGGCAGCAGUGGGGAAUAUUGCACAAUGGGCGGAAGCCUGAUGCGGCGACGCCGCGUGAGGGAUGACGGCCUUCGGGUUGUAAACCUCUUUCAGCGGGGACGAAGCGUAAGUGACGGUACCUGCAGAAGAAGCGCCGGCCAACUACGUG